GGUGUAGGAUGAGCUCGCGGCCUAUCAGCUUGUUGGUGGGGUAAUGGCCUACCAAGGCGGCGACGGGUAGCCGGCCUGAGAGGGUGGACGGCCACAUUGGGACUGAGAUACGGCCCAGACUCCUACGGGAGGCAGCAGUGGGGAAUAUUGCACAAUGGGCGCAAGCCUGAUGCAGCGACGCCGCGUGGGGGAUGACGGCCUUCGGGUUGUAAACUCCUUUCGCUAGGGACGAAGCUUUUUGUGACGGUACCUAGAUAAGAAGCACCGGCUAACUACGUGCCAGCAGCCGCGGUAAUACGUAGGGUGCGAGCGUUGUCCGGAAUUACUGGGCGUAAAGGGCUCGUAGGUGGUUUGUCGCGUCGUCUGUGAAAUUCCGGGGCUUAACUCCGGGCGUGCAGGCGAUACGGGCAUAACUUGAGUACUGUAGGGGUAACUGGAAUUCCUGGUGUAGCGGUGAAAUGCGCAGAUAUCAGGAGGAACACCGAUGGCGAAGGCAGGUUAC
RNAcentral lists this ribosomal RNA (502 nucleotides) under Corynebacterium sp. Its description in RNAcentral is "bacterial SSU rRNA". It matches the Rfam family "Bacterial small subunit ribosomal RNA", at positions 217 to 729 of the family's 1533-position model. Lineage: Bacteria; Bacillati; Actinomycetota; Actinomycetes; Mycobacteriales; Corynebacteriaceae. The record is from RNAcentral.